Molecule: ribosomal RNA, 494 nt
Filed under: uncultured bacterium
Lineage: Bacteria
Description: partial 16S ribosomal RNA
Rfam family: Bacterial small subunit ribosomal RNA
Source: RNAcentral
GACGAACGCUGGCGGCGUGCUUAACACAUGCAAGUCGAACGGUGAAGCGUCUUCCUUUUUGGUGGGUGUGGAUGAGCGGCGAAGUGGUGAGUAACACGUGAGUCACCUGCCCCCUUCUUCUGGAUAACCGCAUGAAAGUGUGGCUAAUACGGGAUAUUCUGGGUCUGUCGCAUGAUGGGUCUGUGAAAGAUAUUGUUUCGGUUGGGGAUGGGCUCGCGGCCUUUCUGCUUGUUGGUGGGGUGAUGGCCUACCAGGGCGGUGACGGGUGGCCGGCCUGAGAGGGUGGAGGGGCGCGAUGGGAAUGAGACACGGCCGAGACUACGACGGGAGGCAGCAGGGAGGAGUAGUGGACGAUGGGAGCAAGGCUGAUGCAGCGACGGCGCGGGAGGGAUGGAGGCCUUCGGGUUGUGAACCUCUUUCGCCAGUGAAGCAGGCCUGCCUCGUCUGUGGGUGGGUUGACGGUAGCUGGAUAAGAAGCGCCGGCUAACUACGUG